RNAcentral lists this long non-coding RNA (636 nucleotides) under Eucalyptus grandis. RNAcentral's name for it is "long non-coding RNA (EGRA_LNC006149)". Lineage: Eukaryota; Viridiplantae; Streptophyta; Magnoliopsida; Myrtales; Myrtaceae. The record is from RNAcentral.
AUAAGAUCAAGUAAAAACGACGGAGGAGAAGACAGCCAAUCAGAAGAUAGUAAUGAAGCCCCAUGGGCUUUUGCGGCCCGAUCAGCAACAGAGUUCGCCUCGCGUCUGCAGAACUGGAUUUGCAAAUUAGGGAAACGAAGCAAGAGAGACGCACAGUCGUGGAAGAGAGCUCUGCUCUCCCAUGGCGUCAGGUCAGGGUGAAGGAGGGCUUCCACAAGGACAGCGCAGUCCGAUUCCAGCACCAAUCGAUCUUUGGCUUUCCCUUGUUGCAGUAGAAAUUGAAGAGUAAGAGAAAAGGCGAGCACCUCGGCCUGUAGAGCUGAGGAAGCGUUAACAGUGCGUGUAAAUCCAUCGAUUAGGAAGCCGGAGGAGUUACGGCAAACGCAGGCCACCGAUGCUCUAGUAAUGGCAGACAGGUAAGAAGCAUCUAUAUUGAUUUUAAUUACUCCCUUUUCCGGUGGCUGCCAUCGUUGUGUUUCUGCUGAGAUCUGAGAACUCUGAUUUUGCUUUUUUCCAUUAUAGCGCCGAUCGGACUGGACGUUUGCUAAGGCCACCUGCACUACCUGCUCUGAGUUUGAUCUCUGCUGGCGGAAGACGGAAUUAUUACGAGCUUUCCAGAUCUGCCAAAGGAUGGGG